Molecule: transfer RNA, 54 nt
Filed under: Lycosa shansia
Lineage: Eukaryota; Metazoa; Arthropoda; Arachnida; Araneae; Lycosidae
Description: tRNA-Ser
Source: RNAcentral
CGUUAAGUUAUUGAAGGCUGCUAACUUUCGAUAUAGUGAAUAACUACUUAAUAA